GCUAAAUAAAAUAAGAUAAGUAAUAACAAAAUAGGUUAAAAUAAAAUAAAUGAAUCUGAUAUCUAAUCAACCUAUUACUUCUGCUGCCGGUUUCUAUAUGUUAAGUUAAAAUAUCGCCAAAUCACCUGAAAAAUCAUGUUUACCUGCAGUUCCGCUCCUCUCGUUGUGAAAUCAGAAAACGUGUGUGUGUGUUUUUGUGUCUCUCAGUCAGACGUUUGUGAGUUUUGUGGAGCAGCUGCUGCAGAGACACCUGCUCUUCAGGAACACCCUGCAGGAGAGACUGUCUGCAGAACACUGGAAGUCUCUGAUCGGAGACAUCGUGGUGCAGCUCAUCGGACAGAACGACACGGCGUUCUCAAAGAUGUACCUCGGAUACACGACCACGCUCGCCUCCUUCCUCUCGCUGGAGUUCAACAGGAUCAGCGUCUCUGAGAAGAAGCAGAACCGAAUGAAUGUUCCUCCCUGUGUUCCUCAGAGCGGUCAGGAGGAGAUGAAGCUCCUCUCUCUGCUGCUCGCUCCCGUCUCCAGAAUCCACGCCUACCUGAGCCACAUCCAGGUGAGUCUGCAGCUACAGGGGAUC
Molecule: long non-coding RNA, 580 nt
Organism: Notothenia coriiceps (black rockcod)
Lineage: Eukaryota; Metazoa; Chordata; Actinopteri; Perciformes; Nototheniidae
Exons: 3
Source: RefSeq, a predicted model, not a curated record